Molecule: ribosomal RNA, 379 nt
Filed under: uncultured eukaryote
Lineage: Eukaryota
Description: partial 18S ribosomal RNA
Rfam family: Eukaryotic small subunit ribosomal RNA
Source: RNAcentral
CAAUAGCGUAUAUUAAAGUUGUUGCGGUUAAAAAGCUCGUAGUUGGAUUUCUGCUGAGAACGACCGGUCCGCCCUCUGGGUGUGUAUCUGGCUCUUUCUUGGCAUCUUCUUGGUGAACGUUGCUGCACUUGACUGUGUGGAGCGCUACCCAGGACUUUUACUUUGAGGAAAUUAGAGUGUUUCAAGCAGGCAUACGCCUUGAAUACAUUAGCAUGGAAUAAUAAGAUAGGACCUCGGUUCUAUUUUGUUGGUUUCUAGAGCUGAGGUAAUGAUUAAUAGGGAUAGUUGGGGGCAUUCGUAUUUAACUGUCAGAGGUGAAAUUCUUGGAUUCGUUAAAGACGGACUACUGCGAANGNAUUUGCNAAGGAUGUUUNCAUUG